Oncorhynchus tshawytscha (Chinook salmon) is the source of this 712-nucleotide long non-coding RNA. NCBI's taxonomy places the organism in Eukaryota, Metazoa, Chordata, Actinopteri, Salmoniformes, Salmonidae. The record is from Ensembl.
GUUUAUUUAUGCAAGUUUGUUCUAAUUUUAGCAUCUAUACAGGUAUAUGUAGUAUCUAUAAAUGUUUUGUUUGCAUUCAUUAUUAAAGGCUUGUACUGUAUGUCCUCUUUUAGUUCCGUUUGUAAAUAGAGGUAGAUGAACACUGCCACCUAAUGGUUGAGUUAGACUACUGUCAAUAAAUACUGUAACCCGUGUAAUCGGUCUUUAUCCAUUAUCAGUACCGUAGGACAUAAAAUAUUAGUAUUGUCCAAGCACAUCUAUGAAACUAUUUUGACAGGUAGGCUAAUAUUUUUUAAAGUAUAUCUGUAUGUAUCCACAUGGUGAUAUUAUAAGUGUAUGUGAUGCUGUGUAUGACAACUUAUUUCAGUUUGAAUGCAGCAUUUGUGAAAAGGAUAUUUAUGUAAUACAUUGUCCUUUAAACCGGUGGUGUCUAACUCAUUUUGCACUUGGGCCGCAUUCGGUCUUCACUGAGGUCCGGAGGGACGCAUUCGGUCUUCACUGAGGUCCGGAGGGACGCAUUCGGUCUUCACUGAGGUCCGGAGGGACGCAUUAAAAAUGUAUUAUUUGCUUGAAGAAAAUAGUCCAGGGACCAUAAAUGCUUGAAUUCCUCGCUGUCUAGCUUUCGUUUCAAUUACUGUUAUCAAGCUGGACAGAGUGAAGAGCCUAUACAUGUACAUCCAUUUUCAUUUCUACAGUUUUGAUUUGGUUUUAG